GACGAACGCUGGCGGCGUGCUUAACACAUGCAAGUCGAGCGGUAAGGCCCUUUCGGGGGUACACGAGCGGCGAACGGGUGAGUAACACGUGGGUGACCUGCCCUCAGCUCUGGGAUAAGCCUGGGAAACCGGGUCUAAUACCGGGAUAUGACUCCAUGACGCAUGUUGUGGGGUGGAAAGCCUUGUGCGGCUGAGGAUGGGCCCGCGGCCUAUCAGCUUGUUGGUGGGGUGAUGGCCUACCAAGGCGACGACGGGUAGCCGGCCUGAGAGGGCGACCGGCCACACUGGGACUGAGACACGGCCCAGACUCCUACGGGAGGCAGCAGUGGGGAAUCUUGCGCAAUGGGCGAAAGCCUGACGCAGCGACGCCGCGUGAGGGAUGACGGCCUG
RNAcentral lists this ribosomal RNA (390 nucleotides) under uncultured bacterium. RNAcentral's name for it is "bacterial SSU rRNA". It matches the Rfam family "Bacterial small subunit ribosomal RNA", at positions 28 to 418 of the family's 1533-position model. The record is from RNAcentral.